This is a long non-coding RNA of Heterocephalus glaber (naked mole-rat), 2846 nucleotides long. Lineage: Eukaryota; Metazoa; Chordata; Mammalia; Rodentia; Bathyergidae. The record is from Ensembl.
CUCCCACCAGCCCCCAGUGGAGCUGCACCAGCAUCCACAACAACAGAGGGGUCCCCCCACCCUGCCGCCCCGCCUCUGGCUGUGCAACUACCUGGUUCCACACUACAGAGGCACAGGGGGACAUAAAGGCCAGUGUCCUGAGCUGCAGAAGUGAACAACAGAGAGAGGGCGUCUCUCAGGCUCCUUGAUGAAAACUGAAGCCCACUAGAAAAAUGAAGAGAAUCUCUGCAAUAAAGGCACACCAAACCACCGUACUUGUACUGGGGAUCGAACUCAGGACCUUGCACUUGCCAGACAGACAUUGGCACCACUGAGCUGAAUCCCUGGCCCAGUUGAUUUGAUGAUGAUUAGUGAAAUUUCUGCAAAUGUGUACUGGCCAUUUUCAGGCUUAUGGAAGAGUUUGGAGGCUGGUGGCAGGACGUGCCUAGUCCUCAGCCUUGAGAAGUGUUACAAACCUCUGCCAUGUCUGCUGUCCUGUGGCCGACAGUCCCUGCUCUGCGGCUUCAGAGAGCAGCCGCGGUGGCAGUGGCCAGAUCCGGACCCGCUCGGCUCAUAGCCCUCACUUAAGGUGGGCCAUAAUAAAGAAGCACACUACAGUUCACGUUUCCAGGAGCCCAGGCAUUCCAUGGUGUUUUUUUUCGGGGAAGUACUGGUGAUGAGGAAAGGAUGGGAGAGGAAGAAGACACUGUAUAUCCCCAAGUUUGCCGAACUCUACAGGCACCUUUACAAAGCAGACAGACCCAUCCCUCAGCAGCUGUGAGUGUUAGCUUCUAACUUCAGCUGCUUCCUUUUGUGGAGAACUGCACUAUGUAGAAAAACUUCCAUGCCUGCAAGAUCACCAUAUAACACCUCCACCUCAUGUAAAACCCUGAUUCCUGUAGCCAAUGACUGACUGAUGAUCAAGAUACAAGGUAAGGGCACCUGGCUUCAAGAGUGAUCAAUAUUUUGGUGCAAACCCUACUUCAGAGCAACUCCUGGAAUAAUGUUAAAGCUGGUUUCCAGCUGUCUUAGUUUUAGCCCUGCCCUGUUCUGCGUCUCUCACUCCUCUGAACCAAGAACUAUGCCCCACCCCCCCAAUGGGUCUGCUUUUAAAGAACCCUCUCUAAUGCUUAUUCUCAUUUCAUGUUUAUCAGAGGUCUAUGUAAAGAGGGCUUUCUGUACACCCUCAUUACAGGCAGAGCAGUCAUGUCCAUCUCUGGGGAUGUCAGGAGUCACUUAAGGUACAACCGGGUAAGGCCCUCAAAUAAAAGUUGGACAUAUGUCCUAAGCUAAAUUAAAAUGAGGCCCAGCUUAUUCCUAACAUAGCCUGUCUGGCUGAUGCUAACAUACCACAUUCUGUCAAAUUAGAAAUGAAGAUGUAUAUGUUAAUGCUUUAUUGUAAUUCUUCUCACUAUGAAUAUGAACAAUUCUUAUGAUUAUUAGAAAGUUACAUAGUGUUUGUUAAAAAUUUGGUUGGAUUACAAUUAUUUUGUGUGAUAGUUGAUCGAUUGUGCCAACUUGAGUAAAUGAUGUUCAACUAACUUGGCUAAGCAUCAUUUUGGGUAUAGAAGAUCCACCCCAGGGAGAAUUAUCACCAGAAUAGUAUAAAAGGGAAACAAAGAAGGAAGGAUUGCUUCUAUCUUCUUUAGAGAAGCUCUAGUCUUUCAGAGAAGCAUCCAGAUGAUGUCAGUCAUCUUGACAUCAUCUCCUGGCUUCCAGCACUGACUCUUCAGUUUCCAGCACCAACCUUUCAGCUUUCUGGUGUAGACUGUUCAGCCUUCCAUCGAAGACCCUUUGGCCUCCUGAUACAGGCUCCCAUGGGACACAAUACUGAGCUUCAGGCUUUCAAUUGGGAUCCUUCAGAUCCCCAAUGUGCAGACAGCCCUUUUGCACUCUUCCACACCUGACUCUGUGGGUGGCCAUUGUAAGCCAAUAUUGUAAAUUCUUAUAUAUUUAUAUAUCUUGUAUUAUAUGUGAUUCUCUAGUAACACUGACUGAUAUAUUUUGUUAUAGUAUUCUUGCUACAGCAAGAAUUAUUACAAUAGCUUGAGUUUUAAUGGUUGUUUUACUUCUGUUAACUGUAAGCUCUUUGUUAUUGAAAAUAGUCAAAGAAUAAGGCUAAAGUAGGAUACCUGUUAGGAAUUUCCCAGAAGUGUUAAAAAAAAAGAGAGAGACCAGAUUACCAGUUUGCAAACACCAAAAAUAUACACUGUAAAUAAUUCUGCUAUUAUUUGAAAACAUAGCAAGAUAUCUUUAUAAACAUUAGUCAAAAUAUUUUGGAAAUGUAUGGGUACUGGCUAAAAGUAAUAUUAAGAUUGAAAAAGUACAGGUUGAAAUGACUAGAUUUUAAAAUUACACAUUUAUAAGGUUGAAAAUUUUGUAGCACCUGGCAUCUCAUUCAAUUUUUUCCUCCAACAUACACAUCCUACUAUAUAGGCCCUUGUACAGCCACCCACACUAAUCUCAGUUAACUAAAUCCAUUCUUCUGUCCCACAAUAAAAGAGCCAACACAAUAAUUUUAUUGCAAUUAUUCUCUCAAAUAAUUUCUACCUGAAUAAGGACCCAGUCAUAUCUGAAAACCCAUUUUUGAGUUUAUUUGGAAACAUUCCUUUUGGUAUUAUCUCUUUUAAUUAUGUCUGUUAUUUAUUAUUUUUAGUUUUUUGCAUAUUUAUUUAUAUACCACAAAAUAUUUAAAUUCCUUUGCUUUGUUAUUUAGUAAAAUAUAUUGAUCAUCUCCUUAUCCCAGAAAAAUCAAAUUAUGGAGGGAAGAUCUUUUAAGUGAUUUUUUUUUUUUUUUUGGUACCAGGGAUUGAACUUGGGAUAUUGCAUUUCUGAGGCAGACAGCACAACCACUGAGCUAAAUCCCC